Molecule: long non-coding RNA, 419 nt
Organism: Sardina pilchardus (European sardine)
Lineage: Eukaryota; Metazoa; Chordata; Actinopteri; Clupeiformes; Clupeidae
Exons: 3
Source: RefSeq, a predicted model, not a curated record
CAAAAGAGCCUCCUAGAAGGCCUUGUCUACUGAGGACCUAAAGUCUUCUUUCUUGGGAGUCUUGAGGAAGCGGCAAUGGACAUCACAAGCACCGUUAUGUGGAUUUACAAUAACUGCAGACAUGAGAAUCCCAUAGACUGUUGAUGUGGGGACUGUGAUCGAGGCCAUGAAACUUUGCCAAUGUCAUCUCGUCCAUCAUGCUCUACUUACGGAUGCUCUUCAUCAACUACAGGAAUGUGUGUUAACCCCUCUUGGUACCAGGACAACAGCCUAGGUCAAACCAAGGACCUAAUGGUGGACUACAGGAGACUGGAGCAAGAGGAGCACACACCCGUCUACCCCUCUCACUACAAAGAACUUUACUCUACUGUAACUGACCCUUGGCAGAUGGGUUGGGCCCUUGAGUCGUGGAUCUGUCU